This 242-nucleotide unclassified non-coding RNA is filed under the name uncultured fungus. RNAcentral's name for it is "partial contains 5.8S ribosomal RNA, internal transcribed spacer 2, and large subunit ribosomal RNA". Lineage: Eukaryota; Fungi. RNAcentral also lists the same sequence under 1 other name. The record is from RNAcentral.
AACGCACAUUGCGCCCCUUGGUAUUCCGGGGGGCAUGCCUGUUCGAGCGUCAUUUCAACCCUCAAGCCUAGCUUGGUCUUGGGCUCUGCCGGCAACGGCUGGCCUUAAAAUCAGUGGCGGUGCCAUCGAGCUCUACGCGUAGUAAUUAAACCCUCGCGUGUGAGUCCCGGUGGACGCUUGCCAGCAACCCCUAAUUUUCUAUGGUUGACCUCGGAUCAGGUAGGGAUACCCGCUGAACUUAA